Molecule: ribosomal RNA, 165 nt
Filed under: uncultured bacterium
Lineage: Bacteria
Description: partial 16S rRNA
Rfam family: Bacterial small subunit ribosomal RNA
Source: RNAcentral
UAGGGAAUCUUCGGCAAUGGGGGCAACCCUGACCGAGCAACGCCGCGUGAGUGAAGAAGGUUUUCGGAUCGUGAAGCUCUGUUGUAAGAGAAGAACGUGUGUGAGAGUGGAAAGUUCACACAGUGACGGUAACUUACCAGAAAGGGACGGCUAACUACGUGCCAG